CCCUUAGAUGUUCUGGGCCGCACGCGCGCUACACUGAUUCAUGCAACAAGUUUUGUCCUUGGCUGAUAGGCCUGGGUAAUCUUUGAACGUGAAUCGUGAUGGGGAUAGAUGAUUGCAAUUAUUCAUCUUCAACGAGGAAUUCCUAGUAAACGCAAAUCAUCAGCUUGCAUUGAUUACGUCCCUGCCCUUUGUACACACCGCCCGUCGCACCUACCGAUUGAAUGGUCCGGUGAAAUCUUCGGAUCUGAGAGAUGUCUGAUUAAUUUCGGACGCCUUUUGGAAAAGUUGUUUAAACCUUACCAUUUAGAGGAAGGUGAAGUCGUAACA
Molecule: ribosomal RNA, 327 nt
Filed under: uncultured eukaryote
Lineage: Eukaryota
Description: partial 18S ribosomal RNA
Rfam family: Eukaryotic small subunit ribosomal RNA
Source: RNAcentral